Molecule: ribosomal RNA, 562 nt
Filed under: Niphon spinosus
Lineage: Eukaryota; Metazoa; Chordata; Actinopteri; Perciformes; Niphonidae
Description: partial 16S ribosomal RNA
Rfam family: Bacterial large subunit ribosomal RNA
Source: RNAcentral
AACUGAAAAUAUAAGAGGUCCCGCCUGCCCUGUGACUAUUAGUUUAACGGCCGCGGUAUUUUGACCGUGCGAAGGUAGCGCAAUCACUUGUCUUUUAAAUGGAGACCUGUAUGAAUGGCAUAACGAGGGCUUAACUGUCUCCUCUUUCAAGUCAAUGAAAUUGAUCUUCCCGUGCAGAAGCGGGAAUAUAACCAUAAGACGAGAAGACCCUAUGAAGCUUUAGACACCAAGGCAGAUCAUGUUAAACACCCCUUAAUAAAGGACCAAACCAAAUGAGUCCUGCCCUAAUGUCUUUGGUUGGGGCGACCGCGGGGAAACAAAAAACCCCCACGUGGAAUGGGAACACCCCCUCCUACAACUAAGAGCUGCAGCUCUAGUCAACAGAAUUUCUGACCAAUAAGAUCCGGCAAUGCCGAUCAACGAACCGAGUUACUCUAGGGAUAACAGCGCAAUCCUCUUUUAGAGCCCAUAUCGACAAGGGGGUUUACGACCUCGAUGUUGGAUCAGGACAUCCUAAUGGUGCAGCCGCUAUUAAGGGUUCGUUUGUUCAACGAUUAAAGUC